AACGAACGCUGGCGGCAUGCCUAACACAUGCAAGUCGAACGAGACCUUCGGGUCUUUUGUCCCACGGGUGCGUAACGCGUGGGAACCUUCCCUUAUGUUCGGAAUAACUCCCCGAAAGGGGUGCUAAUACCGGAUAAUGUCUUCUGACCAAAGAUUUAUCGCCUUUGGAUGGGCCCGCGUUGGAUUCGCUAGUUGGUAGGGUAAAAGCCUACCAAGGCGACGAUCCAUAGCUGGUCUGAGAGGAUGAUCAGCCACACUGGGACUGAGACACGGCCCAGACUCCUACGGGAGGCAGCAGUGGGGAAUAUUGGAAAAUGGGCGAAAGCAUGAUCCAGCAAUGCCGCGUGAGUGAUGAAGGCCUUAGGGUUGUAAAGCUCUUUUAACCGGGAUGAUAAUGACAGUACCGGGAGAAUAAGCCCCGGCUAACUCCGUG
This 433-nucleotide ribosomal RNA is filed under the name uncultured bacterium. RNAcentral describes it as "partial 16S ribosomal RNA". It matches the Rfam family "Bacterial small subunit ribosomal RNA", at positions 29 to 507 of the family's 1533-position model. The record is from RNAcentral.